UAAAAGGCUGUGAAAAGAAGAAGUAGUAAUCGUUACACCCAUACAGAAAGCUGCCGGCAGAUGAGAGGCGCAUGAAGGAAGGGAUUAUGAAUACAUCUUGGAGCCGCGUACCGAAAGCGUUCCCUUACAGAAAGACGCAGGGAAGGAUCAGUAGGCUGCGACGCAAGGCAUACGUUACAUGCAUAAGCUGCGGCACGCGUAAGUUAGGGCACAUAUAAUUUGUUGCGCGCAGGCUUAAUAAGACUGGUGAUGCGAGUUGCCGGUGAACAAAGGUGGUACCACGGAACUAUCCGUCCUUAUC
RNAcentral lists this non-coding RNA (301 nucleotides) under Lachnospiraceae bacterium. Its description in RNAcentral is "T-box sequence". It matches the Rfam family "T-box leader". From Rfam's summary of the family: Uncharged tRNA acts as the effector for transcription antitermination of genes in the T-box leader family. T-boxes are found upstream of many aminoacyl-tRNA synthetase genes and some amino acid biosynthetic genes usually in Gram-positive bacteria. The record is from RNAcentral. Lineage: Bacteria; Bacillati; Bacillota; Clostridia; Lachnospirales; Lachnospiraceae.